RNAcentral lists this ribosomal RNA (484 nucleotides) under uncultured bacterium. RNAcentral describes it as "partial 16S ribosomal RNA". It matches the Rfam family "Bacterial small subunit ribosomal RNA", at positions 30 to 507 of the family's 1533-position model. The record is from RNAcentral.
AUUGAACGCUGGCGGCAGGCCUAACACAUGCAAGUCGAGCGGAUGAAGGGAGCUUGCUCCUGGAUUCAGCGGCGGACGGGUGAGUAAUGCCUAGGAAUCUGCCUGGUAGUGGGGGAUAACGUCCGGAAACGGGCGCUAAUACCGCAUACGUCCUGAGGGGGAAAGUGGGGGAUCUUCGGACCUCACGCUAUCAGAUGAGCCUAGGUCGGAUUAGCUAGUUGGUGGGGUAAAGGCCUACCAAGGCGACGAUCCGUAACUGGUCUGAGAGGAUGAUCAGUUACACUGGAACUGAGACACGGUCCAGACUCCUACGGGAGGCAGCAGUGGGGAAUAUUGGACAAUGGGCGAAAGCCUGAUCCAGCCAUGCCGCGUGUGUGAAGAAGGUCUUCGGAUUGUAAAGCACUUUAAGUUGGGAGGAAGGGCAGUAAGUUAAUACCUUGCUGUUUUGACGUUACCAACAGAAUAAGCACCGGCUAACUUCGUG